UACGUAGGGUGCGAGCGUUAAUCGGAAUUAUUGGGCGUAAAGAGCUCGUAGGCGGUUUGUCGCGUCUGCUGUGAAAACUGGAGGCUCAACCUCCAGCCUGCAGUGGGUACGGGCAGACUAGAGUGCGGUAGGGGAGAUUGGAAUUCCUGGUGUAGCGGUGGAAUGCGCAGAUAUCAGGAGGAACACCAAUGGCGAAGGCAGAUCUCUGGGCCGUAACUGACGCUGAGGAGCGAAAGCAUGGGGAGCGAACAGG
This 253-nucleotide ribosomal RNA is filed under the name uncultured bacterium. RNAcentral's name for it is "partial 16S ribosomal RNA". It matches the Rfam family "Bacterial small subunit ribosomal RNA", at positions 524 to 776 of the family's 1533-position model. The record is from RNAcentral.